UCCAUCGCGAGGUGGAAUCUGAAGGAAGCUGGAGGCCUGUGUACUCAAGGUUCUUGGU
Paenibacillus uliginis N3/975 is the source of this 58-nucleotide non-coding RNA. The record is from Rfam. Lineage: Bacteria; Bacillati; Bacillota; Bacilli; Caryophanales; Paenibacillaceae.